This 494-nucleotide ribosomal RNA is filed under the name uncultured bacterium. RNAcentral's name for it is "bacterial SSU rRNA". It matches the Rfam family "Bacterial small subunit ribosomal RNA", at positions 501 to 994 of the family's 1533-position model. The record is from RNAcentral.
CUACGUGCCAGCAGCCGCGGUAAUACGUAGGUCCCGAGCGUUGUCCGGAUUUAUUGGGCGUAAAGCGAGCGCAGGCGGUUUGAUAAGUCUGAAGUUAAAGGCUGUGGCUCAACCAUAGUUCGCUUUGGAAACUGUCAAACUUGAGUGCAGAAGGGGAGAGUGGAAUUCCAUGUGUAGCGGUGAAAUGCGUAGAUAUAUGGAGGAACACCGGUGGCGAAAGCGGCUCUCUGGUCUGUAACUGACGCUGAGGCUCGAAAGCGUGGGGAGCGAACAGGAUUAGAUACCCUGGUAGUCCACGCCGUAAACGAUGGAUACUAGCUGUUGGAGGUAUCGACCCCUUCAGUAGCGAAGCUAACGCGUUAAGUAUCCCGCCUGUGGAGUACGGCCGCAAGGCUAAAACAUAAAGGAAUUGACGGGGACCCGCACAAGCGGUGGAUUAUGUUCUUUAAUUCGAUGAUAACCGAAGAACCUUACCAGGGCUUGACAUUGACUGA